RNAcentral lists this ribosomal RNA (481 nucleotides) under uncultured bacterium. Its description in RNAcentral is "partial 16S ribosomal RNA". It matches the Rfam family "Bacterial small subunit ribosomal RNA", at positions 28 to 507 of the family's 1533-position model. The record is from RNAcentral.
GAUGAACGCUGGCGGCGUGCUUAACACAUGCAAGUCGAACGAAGCACUUUAUUUGAUUUCCUUCGGGACUGAUUAUAUUGUGACUGAGUGGCGGACGGGUGAGUAACGCGUGGGUAACCUGCCUUGUACAGGGGGAUAACAGUUGGAAACGGCUGCUAAUACCGCAUAAGCGCACAGCAUCGCAUGAUGCAGUGUGAAAAACUCCGGUGGUAUAAGAUGGACCCGCGUUGGAUUAGCUAGUUGGUGAGGUAACGGCCCACCAAGGCGACGAUCCAUAGCCGACCUGAGAGGGUGACCGGCCACAUUGGGACUGAGACACGGCCCAAACUCCUACGGGAGGCAGCAGUGGGGAAUAUUGCACAAUGGGCGAAAGCCUGAUGCAGCGACGCCGCGUGAGCGAAGAAGUAUUUCGGUAUGUAAAGCUCUAUCAGCAGGGAAGAUAAUGACGGUACCUGACUAAGAAGCACCGGCUAAAUACGUG